Molecule: non-coding RNA, 3267 nt
Organism: Gasterosteus aculeatus aculeatus (three-spined stickleback)
Lineage: Eukaryota; Metazoa; Chordata; Actinopteri; Perciformes; Gasterosteidae
Source: RefSeq, a predicted model, not a curated record
AUAGCCCUGAACAAGAAAGAGGCCAAAGCUUUUAAAAAGAAACCCGAAUAACUUUCUCAGGGCUUUAGAUGACUCGUCAUUUAGUUUUUCUAUCGUUUGCACCAUUUUGACUCUUCUACACCCAAAUCAAUAGAUUCACCUUUCUUCACACCUGUUUCUUUCUACGGUUGAAGUUUUUUUUUUUGUGGGUUCUUUUUCUCAUAUCCAGCUCCGGCCUCUCCGAUCCACCUCACGUACCGUGGACCCCAUGCGGGUCUUGUUCCUGGCCUGCAGCAGGCUGUAAAGCACCCGGUCGUCUGGUCUCUCCGAGUGGCUGCGGUCGCCCGGCUCACUCCACAGGUGAGCAGUGUAAUUGAAACCGAUACUGGUGUUCUUACGGUACUAAAGGCUGCUUUUCAUCAUCGUCGCCGUCGUCCGCGACGCAGCAGCAGCAGCAGAACCUCCUGAAGACCGAACCCAUCUAGAGGCGGUGGGUUGUGCGGCUCCUCAAUGGUCGAUAAUUUAAGCCGGUAAUCUUUUUCUUUUACCGCAGAUCAACCUCCUUGGUUCAUCGAGCCUCAGUCGAGCUGAUUCCAGUGGAGGGUUCUGAUGGAGCCCAAAACACCUGCGUCCCAGCGGAUGGUUCCUUAAAGGAGGCGACCUUUCUCACAACCUUUGUUGAAAAGUAAAAGAUGUGGCAGAGUAAGGAGAGGCAGCUGUAAAAACAGGAGCAGGAAGAGCAACAAGUCUAAAAAGUUACAAACAAAAGGUCACGGAUCUCCAGACUCGACCUACUUCUCAUUCUCCCAACUGGAGGUCCCAGCACACGGCUCCACGUCCUGCCGAGUGAUCCGGGGCGUCCGGGCGGAGACGCUCAGGCAGACGGCAGCCGGAGGACUGACUGGUGCUUCUCCUCCGCCGCACAUGGAGAACAAUGAGACCAGUGAGACACACAAGUUCACAGAGCCUCAGAAGACGGUCACAACAGGAUCAUGUGAGCCGCUCCGUGUCCUGUCCCAAGCAUCGCGCCCCGAGGACAACACAACAGGAGGCCUGAUAUUCAAUAUACCACGGCUCCAUUUGUUUAAGGCUUAUCCAACGGCCCGGUCAUGUGCUCACUGAGGUUAUUUAUACGUGGAUCUGUACAAGGAUUAAAAGAGAAUUGUCGGGUUGCUUUCGGUUACCGGAGUUUUGUCUUCUUUUUUAAAAAAAAGUCUGCAUUAUGAACUUGUUACCCGGGAAAACUAUAAAGCACCUAGGCCUAUAUUUAAAAUAAGCGAGUCAGAUUAUUGGAAUCAAAUACAACCAACCACUAAAUUUGGUUGUAAUAAUGUUUAAACUACCAAACAGGAAGCGCUCGUCUUUAGCAGCAGCAACCUGAAUGAGAAUAUGAUUCUCAUAUUGAUGCUUCAAUAAUUAAAUCCAAUAACAUACUUUAUACUGCACGAUAACUUUUAUUCUAAGUGUAUUUUCUUUUCCACGGUUUCACACGUUAACUAGAGUAAUAGUUAUAACCACAUGUAUUACACUGCCUCUCACACAACAUUACUAAUAAUAUAUCUUUUUCACACAAUUCAUUUUCCAGAUAGUUAACACCUACACGACAGUGACCCUUUGACCUUUAAUGAGAGUUGUAUCAGUCAUGGUUCAGAUUUUCCCUUUGAUUUUGAAUCCAGGCCUUGAUGAGUUAAACGUUGCUUCAUCUUGUUCUUUACAAAUUACACAAUGAAGAUAUCAAUAUAUAAAAGAAAGAUCUUAAAACCGACAUCGACACAUUAAUUGUGCGGCCCCAUUAACUGUAUUUGUGCGAUUAUUUUCAAGCGAGACACAUUCUACAUCACUUGCUGUAAUUGAUUCACAAUGAGGGAACGAAUAAAUAAUCAGAUAGCGCACAUCAAUACAUCCGUACAAAUUAGAUACCAAGUAUAAAUAAAUGAAGCUAGAGGUCUAUAACAACUGUUUGGUUUGUCUGCAAGUCAAAUUAGACCAGAAGCUGCAACGCUGAUAUGUUCAUAGAUUUUAUUAGACAUAAGACACUGGUUAAGACUUAAAAAGUGGUGAUCAGUAUUCCUAUGAUGGAUUUAAAUUAACAUGUUGGAUCAAUAUUCCAUAGACUCAUUUAAAGUGUUGUAAAAAAUAUAUUUUUAAAGAAAACCAGUACUCUCUGCAGCCUUCAUAUACAUACAGUACAGUGUGUGUUAAGCAUUGAUUCAACAGUAUGAAAUACAUGUAGAGCAGAAGAAAAGGCUGACCUGUAAUGUCACAUGUGGUAAAGGCACCAAAUUGUUAAUAACAUAAAUUUCAUUUGAAAUUCUCUGAGCACAGUAGGUCACUAAAAUGACUCAAAUCUACUGUUAAAUCUCAAUGUCCACUUGUCUUGGACAUGGACUGGAACAAUAACAACCAGAUUGUGAUGUCAUCGUUCACACCUAACUGGGUUUACUAAAGUAAAACGGGCGUGUUGGGACAGUGAUGUGCUGAAGGACCACAUCUGCAUCAAAACCUCACAAUUACACCGGUGAGUCGAGGAGGAACGAGUCUGCUGCACUGCCCCCAGAUCUACACCCGCCCCGCGAUGUAACGCUUCAUCGGUACUUCCCUGGUCACCAGACAGGCGGGCUUUCUGUAAUCCUGCAAAAAGAAAAACGUUACCUCCUCGACGGGGCCGAACUUCAGGAACUCAGAAGAACUCAAAGUGAAUCGCGACCACGUGACUAAUAACGCGCCGGCCGUUUCGCCGGAAGGCCUCCAGAGGUCAUCAGCACCAAAGAGAACAAAGUAUGCGCCGACCUACGUGGUGAAGCCCGUCGCCAUUGGUCUUCUUCGGGAGUUGGAUAAUUCCUUUAGCACACAGAGUAAUUAAGAGCUGCCUUUGUUAGCGCCGGACUCCCAAAAGUACAAAACAAAAGCAGUAUUUAAAACCCUCAGUAAACUUUGUUAACUGAUUUCUGCUGCCUAACGCAGUCGGACUGUGUGUGUGUGUGUGUCAGUGGUCUCCAUCUAGUGGUAAUUGGUCUGCAGGUGACUCCCCCCCCGCCCCCAUCUAUCACUGUGUAGUGAAGGAGAAUAAAGUGUGGAAAUCAACCAAAUCAACCUACUAAAAUGGUGCUGUCAAAACAGAGAAAAUAAGCCAAACAAGAAACUAAAGCAAAAGAAUUGACGGCGAACCAUUCGUGCAGUGCGACAAGACCCAGAGGGACAGCUGCUUCUGGGCGCAGACCUCCUCCCCGUUUUUCUGGUUCCAGCCACAAGACGGCUUCCGCAACCAGGAAGUUCUGAUUGCACGGC